ACCAGACUACUCAUUGGCAAAUAGCAUUGUGCUUGUUUUGACAGUUUUUGUAAUUCAAACUACAGGACAUAAACACAAUUCAGGAUUUGCCUCCAAAUGGACACUUGAUUCACCUAUUGAGGUGUAUCAGAAAUGAGGUUUUGGUUAGGCUGUGUCUGAACUCAGUGUCUUGUGACUCCAAAGCAAUGACACUAGUAGUGGGAAAGCCUGAAAAGGCUGGAAUGGUUCCUUUCAAUACCUCCCAGCAACUUUCAAUACCUGUAUUCUAGUUUCUAAUUAUGGCUUAAGACAGUGUCUAAUUUAUGCCUGGUAAAUGUACACAAACCCAUGCUAAAUCCUCUUUAUAAAAGAAUUGAGCUUCUAGAAUAUCAUUGCUUGCUUUUUAAUCUGAUUUCCAUGUCCCCAAAUGUGGAGCCUAUUCCUUUAGGAAGGAUAUAUCAUUGCUAGAUCUUAGCUUUGAAGAUGGGCAAAAAUAGAAAUGGGUGUUAUUCUUCCCUCCACUCUAGAAACACUAUUGCAUCCCAUUAAGACACAAGUUCAAUUGCUAUAAUAGAAAACUAUGUGAAAUGACCUUUUCGAGAAAACAGAUGUCAGUGUUUCAAGGAUGUAUGACAUCAAAAUGACUGUAUAUUUUUAUGGCAUAUAAAUUAGAUAAAUGGAUAAACCAGGAAUCUGGUAUAAGAAAUGUGUUUACCACCCCGAAGCCUGUUCUUAGAUAUUGAUUAUUAAUAAUUUUUUUUUACCAAAUAAUCCCCAGAAUUGUUAUUAAUAUUGAGACACUUGUAAAUUUUCAACCAAGUUUAUAUCUCUUGCCUAUAUUUGAUCCCAAUGAUAAAUAAGGUGGAUUUCUUCCCCCACAAUAGAAAUAAACAGGGCCCCAGUUACUGAUGACAUCUGCCAUAGGUCAAAUGACAGUUCCGAGCAGGAGGAAUGACUGGACCCUUUAUCUUUGUAACAAUCACUGAGAUCUAGGGAAAGAGAAGAGCCACCUAACAGUCCUGUACAAAUGUUGAUUCAUUCCAGUCUGGGUUGUUUUCACUGAAAAUUUAGGAAGGCAAUCUGUAAACUGGUCCUUGGGCCUUGGUGAGAAUGUUUCAAAGGCAGUCUGAGGCCCGAGUUAGAAGCAUGUACAGUAAGGAUGAGACUAGCUAUUAAAAUUUCACCAUAAGUGCUCAUUCCAACAUCCAGACUCUUAUUUGGUCUUCCAGUUUGGGGCCGUUUGACACCAGAACAGAAGCUAGUGGAGUCACCUUGGUAAAUGACUUCAUCUAGGUUAUUGUUACAGUAAGUAGUUCUACCAAACAAGGAAACUACAUCUGAACAAAAACACUGUUGGAGCAGGUGUUCUAGCCGUUGGAGAAAAGUGAUUAGAGUGACAUUACUCAAUCAUUUUGUUUCUCUGAUAAUAAUAUAUUAUUUAUUAGAGGUAUUUUUGUUUUUGUCCUGUGUGUCCCCUUUUAUAAAUUUCACAUCUAACUCUUUCCCCCUUUGGGUGUGCCACAGCAGAAGCAAGUUAUGCUUGCAGAAGGUGAGCCAGAGAAAUGUUCAUCUUGUUUUGAAGAAAGUUCUUUCCUAAGUUUAUUUAGAAACCAAUAUAGCAUGUAGCAAGAUGCUUCUGAUAUGUGUUGCCUUUCACCUUGAGCUUCUCAAAUCCAAAAUGGAGUUCCCUUGGUGGCUCAGUGGUUAAUGAACCUGAUGAGAAACCAUGAGGAUGUNCAGACUCGGCUCAGAUCCUGCAUUGCUGUGGCUCUGGCGUAGGCCGGUGGCUACAGCUCCGAUUAGACCCCUAGCCUGGGAACCUCCAUAUGCCGCGGAAGCGGCCCAAAGAAAUAGCAAAAAGACAAAAAAAAUACAUAAAUAAAUAAAUAAAAAAUAAAUAAAAACAAAACAAAACAACCCCUAUUUCUCAAGUCUCUCAAUUGAAAAAUCUGAAAGGAAGAGUAUCUCUGUUAGGGAGUUCCCUUGGUGGCUCAGUGGUUAACGAACCUGAUGAGAAACAAUGAGGAUGUAGGUUCGAUCCCUGGCCUUGCUCAGCGGGUUAAGGAUCCGGCAUUGCUGUGACGUAGGCCAACAGCUGUAGCUCAGGUUCAACCCCUUAGCCUGGGAACUUCCACAUGCCUUGGGUGUGG
This 2129-nucleotide long non-coding RNA is filed under the name Sus scrofa (pig). RNAcentral describes it as "lncRNA (ENSSSCG00025065457.1)". The record is from RNAcentral. Lineage: Eukaryota; Metazoa; Chordata; Mammalia; Artiodactyla; Suidae.